UACGUAGGUGGCAAGCGUUGUCCGGAAUUACUGGGCGUAAAGGGCGCGUAGGCGGCCGCCUAAGUCAGACGUGAAAUCCCUCGGCUCAACCGGGGAACUGCGUCUGAUACUGGGUGGCUUGAAUUCGGGAGAGGGAUGCGGAAUUCCAGGUGUAGCGGUGAAAUGCGUAGAUAUCUGGAGGAACACCGGUGGCGAAGGCGGCAUCCUGGACCGAGAUUGACGCUGAGGCGCGAAAGCCAGGGGAGCAAACGGG
RNAcentral lists this ribosomal RNA (253 nucleotides) under uncultured bacterium. Its description in RNAcentral is "partial 16S ribosomal RNA". It matches the Rfam family "Bacterial small subunit ribosomal RNA", at positions 524 to 776 of the family's 1533-position model. The record is from RNAcentral.